UAUAAGCUUAAAACAAUUUUAUUUCCACAAACAAGUGGAAAAAAUACAGAGAAGGCAAGAGGGUUGAAGUGAUAAAGCCAAACUGAUACCUUUGGAAUUGUUAAAAAAAAAUGAAUACGAAAUUAUACCAGCAUGUAUUUGCUUUGUGCUUCCUCUUCGUAAUCGCUGGUGAUGUUGGAACUUUCAUAAAUUUGAUUAUUAACAGCGGUCAGGAACUGGUGCAUCAUAAUCCCGCGUUACUAAUACCAGGGGCCGAUGCUGGAGUAGGACCAAUAACAAAACCGGCAUUGAACGAACUAGCUGAAAAGAAUGAUCACACAAGAAACAAACGAUCCUCGUGGGGAGGCAGAAGUGGAGGAAGUGGUAGCAGAGGUAGCAGAGGAGGGAGUGGUAGAAGAGGCAGCAGAGGUGGUUGGGGGUAAAUGAAGAAAACAAAUCAUGUUAUCAUGGAAUAUUUCAAAGUUUUGGUUCCGGAUAAACUUUAAAAAUACUUUUUUAUACAUCAUCUGCUUUUCAAAAUCGAAUUUGUCCAUAUAAGUCAAAAUAAAUUUUGAAACAUUAACAUUUUACCUCAUGAAAAAUAAGAAAAUUAGCGAAAAGCAGUGUGAUAAUUGAUGAAUGUUUCAUAAAACUUGCGAAUAAUGUAAAGGUUAGGAAAACUGUAUAUUUUUUUCGAUCUCAAUUCACAAACAAAUAAAAAAAGAAAACUUCCUAUUCUUUUAUCUAAUCCAUAAGAAGACACUGUAUCAUGUAUUGAGGAUCUAUGCAUUCCUUUAUCAUAACAAGUUGUAUAUCUAUGGAAUGUUAUAUUUAUACGAUACUUAUAAAAUAAGUUUUAUUCCAUACAA
Long non-coding RNA from Mytilus trossulus (common blue mussel), 848 nucleotides. RefSeq lists it as uncharacterized. NCBI's taxonomy places the organism in Eukaryota, Metazoa, Mollusca, Bivalvia, Mytilida, Mytilidae. The record is from RefSeq and is a predicted model, not a curated record. The transcript has 2 exons.